CGGGGGGAGCAAGCGUUGUUCGGAUUUACUGGGCGUAAAGGGCGCGUAGGCGGCCACCGCAAGUCGACUGUGAAAUCUCCGGGCUUAACCCGGAAAGGUCAGCCGAUACUGCGGGGCUAGAGUGCAGAAGGGGCAACUGGAAUUCUCGGCGUAGCGGUGAAAUGCGUAGAUAUCGAGAGGAACACCUGCGGCGAAGGCGGGUUGCUGGGCUGACACUGACGCUGAUGCGCGAAAGCUAGGGGAGCGAACGGGAUUAGAUACCCCGGUAGUCCUAGCCUUAAACGAUGAAUGCUUGGUGUCUGGGGUUUUAUAGUCCCCGGGUGCCGUCGCUAACGCUUUAAGCAUUCCGCCUGGGGAGUACGGUCGCAAGACUG
Molecule: ribosomal RNA, 374 nt
Filed under: uncultured organism
Description: bacterial SSU rRNA
Rfam family: Bacterial small subunit ribosomal RNA
Source: RNAcentral